RNAcentral lists this transfer RNA (72 nucleotides) under Candidatus Niyogiibacteriota bacterium. RNAcentral's name for it is "Candidatus Niyogibacteria bacterium tRNA-Thr". It matches the Rfam family "tRNA". Rfam says of the family: Transfer RNA (tRNA) molecules are approximately 80 nucleotides in length. The record is from RNAcentral. Lineage: Bacteria; Candidatus Niyogiibacteriota.
GCCGGAGUAGUUCAGUGGCAGAACGCAUUCUUGGUAAGAAUGAGGUCGGGAGUUCGAUUCUCCCCUCCGGCU